AUGCCCCUUAUGAUUUGGGCUACACACGUGCUACAAUGGACAAUACAAAGGGCAGCGAAACCGCGAGGUCAAGCAAAUCCCAUAAAGUUGUUCUCAGUUCGGAUUGUAGUCUGCAACUCGACUACAUGAAGCUGGAAUCGCUAGUAAUCGUAGAUCAGCAUGCUACGGUGAAUACGUUCCCGGGUCUUGUACACACCGCCCGUCACACCACGAGAGUUUGUAACACCCGAAGCCGGUGGAGUAACCUUUUAGGAGCUAGCCGUCGAAGGUGGGACAAAUGAUUGGGGUGAAGUCGUAACAAGGUAGCCGUAUCGGAAGGUGCGGCUGGAUCACCUCCUUUCUAAGGA
Molecule: ribosomal RNA, 347 nt
Filed under: Staphylococcus aureus
Lineage: Bacteria; Bacillati; Bacillota; Bacilli; Caryophanales; Staphylococcaceae
Description: bacterial SSU rRNA
Rfam family: Bacterial small subunit ribosomal RNA
Source: RNAcentral